This 3760-nucleotide long non-coding RNA is filed under the name Salmo salar (Atlantic salmon). RNAcentral describes it as "lncRNA (ENSSSAG00000093911.1)". The record is from RNAcentral. Lineage: Eukaryota; Metazoa; Chordata; Actinopteri; Salmoniformes; Salmonidae.
AGCAAAGCUUGUCAUGUUCUUAUUUGAACUUUUUCAGAGAGAAUUCAAGAGAUUAGCAUGAGUACAUCAGAGAUGCCCUGACAGUUGACAGAGUGUUUUUGCUGUGGUUGUGUGUUUGGUAUUCAAAUAGAUCCCUUUUUGAUGAGUAAGAGAGAGCCCCACCCCUUUAAGAACAGGGCUAAACUCCUAUGUGCAUAUACUUAGUUGAGCAGGUUGCAAAGCAGCAAGUCGAUCUCCAACUUGCUCCCACUAAUAGCUGGAAUACUACAGACAAAUUGUAAACACACUACUUUCACAGCAGGGGUGUGCUAUUGCUGCUUUUACUUGCCAUAGGAGUUGGCACAAGUCACACACACACACACAGACACACACACACACAUAUACACCCACGCACGCACGCACACCCACGCACGCACACACACAGACAAACAGUUUCUUCUGCAGGUUUGAACUGCGAUCAAGAUGGGCAAUGAGCAUUCCAAAAACAAGGCUGAGCAGGCUCCAGAAAAGCCCCUGCAUGGAGGUUUGAAUGGCCAUGCUGUAAGCAUCUCAUCCAAUGGCCUGGAGAAUGUUACCAGUGAAGCAGCUGUGGAGCAGAACAGUAUGCCUACCUCACUGCCUCCCUCUGAAGAGUCAGGUAUAGUGGAGGCAGAUGGCAGUGGUCUUGGGCCUGUGGUGGUGGAACAGAAGUCUGCCGUCAAGAAGGUUCCAGAAGUGGAACCAGAGACACAGAAUGCUAAGACUCAAAACACAGCGGAACCGGAACUGGAACCAGCCACCCAAGAGAAGGAGGAGCCCAAGAACAGUACACAAGAAAAAGUGAACAUCUUUGAAAAUCUGUUCAAGAAGAAAGCUAAGCCUCAACCCACCCCCAACCCGGAUCCAGCCCUGGAAAAGGAGGAGCCCAUAAGGGAGAAGAUUGUGGAGGAGAUUGAAAGUUCUGCGGAAGAUCAGAAAGUCCCUGUGGCUGUGACCGAUGGGAUCCAAGCUGAGCCACUUGCUGAGGUAAAGGAGGAUACAGAGACUUCAAAGGAGCGUCCCAACCCUAGUCCAGAGGCAGAGGAGGUCAAAAGCCCCAAAAUUGCAGAGGAAAGCAGUCACAUUCAGGAAAACCAAGAGGGAGAGAGUCAAACAGAAGAUAAUCCAGUUAUGAACUUCUUCAAAACACUAGUGACUCCCAUAAAAAAAAACAAGCAAGAAACAGCCACCCCUGAUGUUGCAAAAGACCAGAAAGAGGCCCAACCAACAACAACUACUGCUGCACAACUAGUGGAUGCAACAGCCAAAGGAGGAAUGUUAAUCCCACCAGCUGCAGCCCCAGCCCCAGCCCCGGCCCCAGCCCCGGCCGCAGCCCCGGCCGCAGCCCCUGCCCCACCCGCAGCCGCAGCCCCAGCCCCAGCCCCACCUAAGAUGGAGGUUAAAGCAGAACUAGCUGCCCAACCUGUGACCAACGCACCAAAAGAAGAACCAAAGGGUGCUGCCAAAGAAGCAGAGGCCGCCAAGCCGAAAUCUGACCGCCCGUUCAGCAGACUUUUCAGCAGAAAGACAGUGGAACCAGUGGAGCCACAGCCGGUUGUGGAAGUACAGAAUGUAGACUUCUCAAAGACGGCCACUCUGGAGGCCUCUGCCACUCUAGAACCACCACCACCUGCACCAGAGGACGAGAAGACACCUGCUGCCUCCAAAGCCUCUCCUUUCACUUCCUUUUCUCUUUUCAAGACCAUGGCAGCUGUGCCGAAAAAGGAAGUCCCUGCCCCAGCUGCAGAAGCGGUAGCUGGCCCAAGUGUAGCCAAGGAUGAACCAAAGGCCCCAGAGGACCCUGCUGUGGACAGCAAGCCCGUGUCAGGGCCCUCCGAGGUUAUGGAGAAUUCCCCCGUCCUCCCUAAGAGACUGGAGAAGAGGAACUCCAUCCACUUGUUCUUCAAAAACCUGGGCAAACGCCAGUCAGAUGCAGGAGUACAAACAGAACCAGAGAAGACCAAAUAAAACGGAAACACCCUUUCAAACUUCACAUGCCAUAUCUGGAAAUGAACUUUUCAUUUGUUAGAUACAUUAUGUUUCUGAUCACACUAUUGAAGGGAUGAUGGUAAGAGCAAGUGGUUUGAGGGAGAGGGGUGGACUGUGGACUGGUCUGUUCUAGUCUAAUCUAAUCUGUGUGGAUGAUUUCAGAGAAUUGUUCUUUGUGGAGGAGGUAAAAUAUAUUUUCUGGUUUAAAGGCUUGAUAGGUAGAGAAAAGUGGUUUUGUUACAUGUACUGAGAGCAAAAUCCAUUUCUAUACAGUAUUUACCCUUCUUUUAACAUGUCACUUAUUCCACGGAGGGCUGAGUGUCUGCGGGUUUUUGCUCCUCCCUUGAUUGAUUAAUUAAGGUCACUAAUUAGUAAAGAACUCCCCUCACCUGGUUGUCUAAGUCUAAAAACAAAACACCCACAGACACUAAGCCCUUCAUGGAAUGUGUUUGACACCACUGCUUUAACAUAUUAAUAUGUGUAAGGAUCUAAUGCAAAUAUUACGUUUAGCAUAUUUUUUUCCCCUCUUCAUAUACACAUUUUACUAGUCUGAAAAGAACUUGUGGAGUGCAUACAAUGGUUUCAGAUACGUUCAUAGGACGUCUUGGAGAAGAGAUGCAUAAAGCUUAGCUUGAGAUAGAAAUUGAAUAUACUCAAAAUUUAAUGGAGGAGUUGGCGAAAUGGUUGAUAUUCCUGCCAAGAUGUUUUUAUUUAGGCUAGACACAUGCAAUUUACAAUGUAAGCUUUAAACUUUGCAGGAACUGUACACGGAUGCAAAUAUAUGCCAAACACUAAAUUACAAUUUAUGAUUAUAAUCAUACACAGGGGGCGCUCCCAAUCAUUACUUUUUUGGGGAACUACACAGAUCUGGUUGUCUAUAUAGCUAACUGCACAGUCAUGCAUCAUAUUUGAUUAAUGUUUCACUGAAGUAUAAAGGUUUGUUCUAAUUUGGGUGCACUGCUUUACGUGUGUGCCUGUUUGAAUGCAGAUGUUAUAAUCUUGGGGAUCUUGUCUGUUAAUUUCUGCAUCUAUAAUUUGAUAAACUGCAUCUGGAAGUAGAAUGUUUAUUGUGACAGCAAAUUCCAAAUCAUGAAAACCUGCAAUGGGGUAUUGGGGGGGGGGGGGAGUUCUACUGAGCUAACAUAUGGAAUUUUUUUAAGAUCAUACCAUGGAUCCUUUAGCUAUUUAAUUUUUCAUUUAGGUAAAAUAUUGAAUUUGGCUUUUAAUGCUAUAGCCUAUAGAAAUGCAAUGAAUAACACAUUCAUAAAUGGCAAAACGGAGAGUACAAAAAGAAAUAAUAUAUAACGUUUUUGAAGUGUCUGUCCUACAUCUAGGAGAUGUAAUAAUGUUCAGGAUUUACACAUAUUUAACCCAUUUUUUGGGGGUGUCACAAAACUACUUCUAUAUAUUUUUUAUUAUGUUAAUUAAAUUGACGCACGGGUGCGUUGAUGGACUUUAGGGGGUAUUUAAAGCUAUUUUCCUGUAACUGUUUAAAGAGAAUAAAUGUGUACAAUUAUUUGUUUUCUUGUUUUCUAUCUCACAAUUUAGGCCAAAAGUUAUCAGUAUAGGGAAAUAUGAAAACAUAUUUAGAGUGAAAUUAAAUGUCCCUGUAAUAUAGUGAUUUAAUGUUAUCAAACAGUACUAUCAAGUGCUGCAAUAACUGAAAAAGACAUGACCCAACAAGUUUAUCAACACAUCUUGUAUUCCCAAAGUAGGGAGCCAAGCUGUUUUCAGCUAUGUUAGAAGUAUGGAG